Long non-coding RNA from Ornithodoros turicata, 1897 nucleotides. RefSeq lists it as uncharacterized. The transcript has 2 exons. The record is from RefSeq and is a predicted model, not a curated record. Lineage: Eukaryota; Metazoa; Arthropoda; Arachnida; Ixodida; Argasidae.
GCAGAAUAUCCUCACCGUGUUAUGUGACGACGCUCGCAGUCGGUAUUAGCCAUGAAAUGUGCGAUGUGCCGAUUUUACUUCAUAACGCGCAUGUCAUGCAUGAAUAAAGCAGCUCCAACAAACUGCACCGUUGGCAGCAGCACUCACGCAAAGAACUCUGCCCAAUGCCACGACGAACCACGCAAAAGUGCAUUGCGACCCAAACAUGCACAUGCAGCGGAAAUGGCGGACCCCUUCAUGCUUCUUCUUGUGCCUCCUUCACAUGUUGGCCGUUUUAUUCAAUGUGCAAGCCUCACAUGCAUGACAGGGCGGAUACUCCUGCAGAGACAGUGGUACAGUUCCACUGGUGCUGGAACAGUACACAAUGAGCAUUGUGCAUAAUGGUUUGUUUUUGUUCUUUGAGUUCCUUAUCUGGACAUAGUGCUGUGUCGGGAUGCGCAUGUGUCUUUGAGGAACAUCACUCUGACGUUCCAGUGAUUGUGUAGUUCAUUUUGUGUUAUCUUUUUUCUUCCCCAUGCUCAGGGACGUGUUGCAUGUGUCGAGCAUACACCAACUCGCUUGCAUUUCACUUUCAUCACAUGUUUUGAUUUGCAUCAUCAUCGCUAUCCAAGCUGAGAGGCAUGAGCAUAGAUCAAGACCCGUCAAAAAGAACUCGUUGCGAGUUAAGUUACCAUGUGUAAAUGUAAGUUAAUAACAAAGUUCUUCAGCCUGAAAUGUAACUCGCGGUUACUGAUUUACUUAAAAAAAGAACGAGUUACUUCCGAAUUACUUUGGACACAAAACCGCAGUGCACAGGUGCAGCGCGCAUGAGCAGUUGAGUUAGACCAUGAGCUGCCUGUGGAGGAGUGCAACACGCUUAGAUCGUCUUCAUGUAUGUACAGCAAUUCGAACACUUUGCAUCUUACUCCCUGUGGGUGCACAAUGGUUCAGCUUCAUUUCAAUGGCAGCGUUUCUUACUUCCUGAAUAGAAUACUCUCAUUGAUUGACGUUUCAUUCAUUCAUUCGCGUUUUAUGGCAUAAAAUGCCACGAAAGAACCGGAGAGGAAGCAAGAAAAUAUGUGGACGUGAGUGAAAAGCGAAUUAAAAGUAACUUGGAACUUAGCUUAAGUUACUUUAGCAAAGUCAUCCGGAAAAGAAACAAGCUCCUCAGAAAGUUACCACAGCACAAAAGUACCGAGUUGAGUUACAAGUUACCAAAAAAUAUGAACCUAGUUAGGAAUCGAGUUACCUCGAACUCUGGACAUGAGGGCGUGCUUCUAAAGGUAUGGUCUAGGUCUGUUGUUGGGAGUCAUUGUAAUUUGCUACCCUUGAGGAGCAUUAGGCUGUUCCACAACAAAACGUUCACGUCCGCUCUGCUCAGACUCCUCGGAAGCGGCCACGCUAGUGUGGCCUUGCAGCUUCCCCAUUUUGCGCCUCUAAAUUGAGUGGAAAAUUUUCCUGGACACGAUGGAACUGAAACUUAACGUGGGAGGCAUUCAUUCCACAUCAUAAAUUAGUAUCCAUGCACGCCUGAGGCCCUUCAACGGCGGAUCGCGAAGCUGCGCCAAAACUUGAUUUUCCUAGCGCCAACGGCUACGCCCGAACGCCUCAAGGCGCUUCCUUCACUUCCAAUCCAAAGAAUGUUCAUCAGGGUAAAAUUGUCAGUAAGAGUUUAUAGGUGCAGAAUUAUAUUUUACGCAAAUGCUGGUGGACAUCUUAUUAUGCCCUCCAUAUGCUCCUGAGUUUGGUUUGUCCUGACGAUUCGCCAGCUGGACAUUUUUCUAUGGAAACUGCAGUUAUUGGAUAAAUGAGAGUAGAACUGUACUUGCAGGAACUACCUACCAGUGGAGUAAUUUAGAAGUACAAAUUGACACCUCGUGGGAAACAGAUUAAAAAAAAAAGUACUUUGUACAUUCUG